AAAAAGCUGGACAAUCAAAUAUUACACAGUGUUUAACACUUGGUUUUCAUUCCGCCGCGCGGUGUUAAUUGCUCCUGCGCCGCCUGCCACCAGUGGUCCUUUAUGAAAUGACUUUUUGAAUUGAAGCAUAUGGACGAGGAGGCGCGGCGGGAGGCAGCAGGACGACUGGAGGAAGGGUCCCAUUAAAUAAGAGCCGGCUAAUUACUUUGUCCUCCCUUUUGUCCUGCGCUAUCCGGCCCUUGCCGUCGUUCAUAUAUCUUGCUGUAAUGAGUAACGCCAGAGCCCCGGCACCUGCGCUCGGUAAUUAAACAUAUAAAUUCUCCCCAAGCGGAAAUAUGUGAACUCACCAGGCUUGAUUUAUAAGGCCUCUAAAUGCACUGUUGAGCUUAUUUUCAUGGGCUGUUGUAGGAAGAGAGAGUCGUUCAUCAGCUCCAUGCUUUCACAACACUUGUCAAGUUCCUUUGUUGCCAUUGUGGCUGUUUGUGUUGUGGGUGAACGUGCUGACCAGGGGGGGGGAGUAAAGACAUCCACAGCUCAAAUCUCGUGUGGUAAGCAUGGAAACGUCUCAUAGUUGAUGCUUUUAAUUCUUAAUUUCCUUAGAUAACUGUUUACGUGGGUCAUGGCAUCGCAUUAUUCGUGGGAGUACGUGUAUCGCUGCGUUCCCUUUAGGCAACAAAACCACUUACACUGCAAAGCGAUAGAUUCCAUGCCGAGUCAAUAAACAGGCGAAAAUGCUUGUGGAGGAAGCAAAUUUUCAACGGGCAGCGCGUAGAACACGGACGACGCAAAACAAUGGACUUCGCCAAUCAGCGUUGAGAUGCUCCACUCGUCAUCACCGCCGUCCUGCUGCCACAGCGGGAAUACGCUUUAGGAAGCUGCCAGAGACACACUGACGGCCUGUAAGUUAGUUAGUGUCUAACCAGAGACGCAUGAGGUCAUCGGAGGAGUAGUCGGUCCUCGGGGGUCAUGUGGUGAUGUUUCUGUGAUGGCGGACAAGUUACUGCAGCUAGUGUUGUUUUUGCCUUCUUCAGCCCAAAAGACGAUCUAACAUCUGUUUGAGUGACAGGUCACGAUAGAGCUGUGUUGGCCUUCUAACUCAGACCCACUGAAGAUCUACAACUGGUUUUAUUUCAUAUAAGCAGACUCCGUGAAGCAGCACAGGGAACCGUACGGGCCUCGUCCUCCUCCACGGCUGAUGGAAUUCCCUAUUAGCCAGCUGGGAGUCUCAGUGUGAAUGUGCUGUGUUAAAACCUAAUCUACGUCAUAAUUAACUGGAUAUACUUUACAUUUAGAAUGGGAUCGGCCAUAUCGGUAAUAAAACCCCACGUCCACCUUUUUAACCCUGUGUUCCCCCCUCAUCCCCUCUCUCUUUAUUCUUUUCCUUCGAUGACAUUUCUUUAUCUGGUUUGCAUUAUUUUUUCUGUUCCUUGUUCAAUUUCUUUUCUUUUUUUUUUGGGGGGGGGGGGGGUGGGUGUUUGGACGAGGCCUGCAGCUUUCACAGCAUUUUCUGACACUUUUGUUAAUAAAUCAUUGGGAAAGUUAAUGAAAACGGCAUUCAGGCAUAUCCAAAAUGAUUGUGUUCUUUGUCAUGCUAAUAAAGUGAAAGAUGUUCGUCCAAUGGCUGAACGCCUGCACAUUACCAGCAACUUCUGAUGCCUGCGUGCCUGUUGCGCCUCGCUCUUUUCCCUCUUUCUCUGUUGUUGCCCUCUCUCCUUCUUAGAGACAAUUGUUUUCACAUAUUCCUCCUGUAGUUCAUCAAGCUUUUGGGUCGCUUUGACAUCAAUUUGACGUCCAUUUUUUUACCUCUCCUGUCUCCAUUUACCACCGUUGGGUCUUGGUUUUACAUACAAGGGAUUUGCAGGAAUGAAUCAAAAGUUGGCAGCUUCAGCCAGCGGUGCCAUACAGGAGGAGACCAUCUACAGUAUGUAUCAAACCACCAACAAUGUCUUUAAGGUGCUGAUUUAAAAUAAAGGAAAAGUCCAUGGACAAGAAUAUCUAUGUCCACAGUGAGAAAGAAAGUUUUUCACAAUUGACUUGACUCCAUUUAAAAUGCAGAGUUAACUUAGCAGUAGCGCACGUACCACGCAAUGAAAACCUUCGGAUCAAAUAAGAAAUUCAUGGAUCAAUUUGUCAGCGAACACAUGUAGUUUAUCAGAGUAUCUUCACAAAAUGAAUUCCAUUGGUCAAAGAAGUAAAAAAUAAAGUGCACUGGCAAACAGAUGGCCAUACUCUACUUGUUGUGGGUGUAUGUGAACAAGUGACAAGUGUAUGUGCAUGUGGAGUGAAGGGAGUGACCGGUGGGAUGUCAGAGUCAGUCAGUGGGGGACCGGCUCUGUUGAUGAGCCCGACUGCCGACGGGAAGAAACUGUUGGUGUGGCGGGAGGUCUUAGUCCUGAUGGACCUCAGCCUCCUGCCAGAUGGAAGGGGCACAAACAGGUUUUGUCCGGGGUGAGAGGGGUCGGCUACCAUCUUUUUAGCUGCUUCAGGGUCCUGGAAGCGAACAAGUCCUGCAGGGACGGCAGAUUGCAGCCGAUCACCCUCUCUGCAGAGCGGAUGACCCGCUGCAGCCUGCCCUUGUCCUUGGCUGUGGCUGCAGCGUACCAGACGGUGAUGGAGGAGCAGAGGAUGGACUCCAUGAUGGCCGUGUAGAAGUGGACCAUCAUCGUCUUUGGCAGGUUGAAUUUCUUCAGCUGCCUCAGGAAGAACAACCUCUGCUGAGCCUUCUUGGUGAUGGAGCUGAUGUUCAGCUCCCACUUGAGGUCCUGGGUGAUGAUGGAGCCCAGGAAACGAAAGGAAUCCACA
This is a long non-coding RNA of Gasterosteus aculeatus aculeatus (three-spined stickleback), 2802 nucleotides long. Lineage: Eukaryota; Metazoa; Chordata; Actinopteri; Perciformes; Gasterosteidae. The record is from Ensembl.